This 427-nucleotide ribosomal RNA is filed under the name uncultured bacterium. Its description in RNAcentral is "partial 16S ribosomal RNA". It matches the Rfam family "Bacterial small subunit ribosomal RNA", at positions 355 to 774 of the family's 1533-position model. The record is from RNAcentral.
UGGGGAAUAUUGCACAAUGGGCGCAAGCCUGAUGCAGCCAUGCCGCGUGUGUGAAGAAGGCCUUCGGGUUGUAAAGCACUUUCAGCGAGGAGGAAGGGUAGUGUGUUAAUAGCACAUUGCAUUGACGUUACUCGCAGAAGAAGCACCGGCUAACUCCGUGCCAGCAGCCGCGGUAAUACGGAGGGUGCAAGCGUUAAUCGGAAUUACUGGGCGUAAAGCGCACGCAGGCGGUUUGUUAAGUCAGAUGUGAAAUCCCCGCGCUUGACGUGGGAACUGCAUUUGAAACUGGCAAGCUAGAGUCUUGUAGAGGGGGGUAGAAUUCCAGGUGUAGCGGUGAAAUGCGUAGAGAUCUGGAGGAAUACCGGUGGCGAAGGCGGCCCCCUGGACAAAGACUGACGCUCAGGUGCGAAAGCGUGGGGAGCAAACA